AUUGAACGCUGGCGGCAGGCCUAACACAUGCAAGUCGAGCGAGCGGCGGACGAGUGAGUAAUGUCUGGAAAACUGCCUGAUGGAGGGGGAUAACUGCUAGAAACGGUAGCUAAUACCGCAUAACAUCAUAUGUGCCCAGAUGGGAUUAGCUAUUAGGUGGGGUAACGGCUCACCUAGGCGACGCUCCCUAGCUGGUCUGAGAGGGUGACCAGCCACACGGGAAUGGAGACACGGUCCGGACUCCGACGGGAGGCAGCAGUGGGGAAUAUUGCACAAUGGGCGCAUGCCUGAUGCAGCGAUGCCGCGUGUAUGAAGAAGGCCUUAGGGUUGUAAAGUACUUUCAGCGGGGAGGCGUUACCCGCAGAAGAAGCACCGGCUAACUCCGUGCCAGCAGCCGCGGUAAUUC
This 406-nucleotide ribosomal RNA is filed under the name uncultured bacterium. RNAcentral's name for it is "partial 16S ribosomal RNA". It matches the Rfam family "Bacterial small subunit ribosomal RNA", at positions 30 to 526 of the family's 1533-position model. The record is from RNAcentral.